Molecule: ribosomal RNA, 745 nt
Filed under: uncultured bacterium
Lineage: Bacteria
Description: bacterial SSU rRNA
Rfam family: Bacterial small subunit ribosomal RNA
Source: RNAcentral
UCAGGAAAGUNUGGAGUAAAAGGCUAUGGCUCAACCAUAGUGUGCUCUGGAAACUGUNUGACUUGAGUGCAGAAGGGGAGAGUGGAAUUCCAUGUGUAGCGGUGAAAUGCGUAGAUAUAUGGAGGANCACCAGUGGCGAAAGCGGCUCUCUGGUCUGUCACUGACGCUGAGGCUCGAAAGCGUGGGUAGCGAACAGGAUUAGAUACCCUGGUAGUCCACGCCGUAAACGAUGAGUGCUAGGUGUUAGGCCCUUUCCGGGGCUUAGUGCCGGAGCUAACGCAAUAAGCACUCCGCCUGGGGAGUACGACCGCAAGGUUGAAACUCAAAGGAAUUGACGGGGGCCCGCACAAGCGGCGGAGCAUGUGGUUUAAUUCGAAGCAACGCGAAGAACCUUACCAGGUCUUGACAUCCCGAUGCUAUUCUUAGAGAUAGGAAGUUACUUCGGUACAUCGGAGACAGGUGGUGCAUGGUUGUCGUCGGCUCGUGUCGUGAGAUGUUGGGUUAAGUCCCGCAACGAGCGCAACCCUUAUUGUUAGUUGCCAUCAUUAAGUUGGGCACUCUAGCGAGACUGCCGGUAAUAAACCGGAGGAAGGUGGGGAUGACGUCAAAUCAUCAUGCCCCUUAUGACCUGGGCUACACACGUGCUACAAUGGUCGGUACAAUGAGUUGCGAGCCGGUGACGGCAAGCUAAUCUCUGAAAGCCGAUCUCAGUUCGGAUUGGAGGCUGCAACUCGCCUCCAUGAAG